UUAAGUGACUAAGCGUACAAGGUGGAUGCCUUGGCAAUCAGAGGCGAAGAAGGACGUGCUAAUCUGCGAAAAGCUUGGAUGAGUCGAUAAGAGGCGUUUAAUCCAAGAUAUCCGAAUGGGGAAACCCAGUAGAUGAAGAAUCUACUAUCAACAAGUGAAUUCAUAGCUUGUUGAGGCAAACCGGGAGAACUGAAACAUCUAAGUACCCCGAGGAAAAGAAAUCAACCGAGAUUUCGUCAGUAGCGGCGAGCGAAAGCGAAAGAGCCAGUAAGUGAUAGCAAUAUAGUGAGGAGAAUGUGUUGGGAAGCACAAUCAAAGAGGGUGAUAAUCCCGUAUCUAAAAACCAUAUUGUGGUACUAAGCUAACGAGAAGUAGGGCGGGACACGUGAUAUCCUGUUUGAAGAAGGGGGGCCCAUCCUCCAAGGCUAAAUACUCCUGAUUGACCGAUAGUGAACCAGUACUGUGAAGGAAAGGCGAAAAGAACCCCGGUGAGGGGAGUGAAAUAGAACCUGAAACCUUGUACGUACAAGCAGUGGGAGCGAGGGCAACCUUGUGACUGCGUACCUUUUGUAUAAUGGGUCAGCGACUUAUAUUUUGUAGCGAGGUUAACCGAAUAGGGGAGCCGAAGGGAAACCGAGUCUUAACUGGGCGAAUAGUUGCAAGGUAUAGACCCGAAACCCGGUGAUCUAGCCAUGGGCAGGUUGAAGGUUGGGUAACACUAACUGGAGGACCGAACCGACUAAUGUUGAAAAAUUAGCGGAUGACUUGUGGCUGGGGGUGAAAGGCCAAUCAAACCGGGAGAUAGCUGGUUCUCCCCGAAAUCUAUUUAGGUAGAGCCUUGAGGUGACACCUUUGGGGGUAGAGCACUGUUUCGGCUAGGGGGCCAUCCCGGCUUACCAACCCGAUGCAAACUACGAAUACCAAAGAGUGAUACUCAGGAGACACACGGCGGGUGCUAACGUCCGUCGUGGAGAGGGAAACAACCCAGACCGCCAGCUAAGGUCCCCAAGUCUAUAUUAAGUGGGAAACGAAGUGGGAAGGCUUAGACAGCUAGGAUGUUGGCUUAGAAGCAGCCAUCAUUUAAAGAAAGCGUAAUAGCUCACUAGUCGAGUCGGCCUGCGCGGAAGAUGUAACGGGGCUGAAAUAUAGCACCGAAGCUGCGGCAUCAGAAUUUAUUCUGUUGGGUAGGGGAGCGUUGUGUAAGCGGAAGAAGGUUCAUCGAGAGGUGGGCUGGACGUAUCACAAGUGCGAAUGCUGACAUAAGUAACGAUAAAACGGGUGAAAAACCCGUUCGCCGGAAGACCAAGGGUUCCUGUCCAACGUUAAUCGGGGCAGGGUGAGUCGGCUCCUAAGGCGAGGCUGAAAAGCGUAGUCGAUGGGAAACAGGUUAAUAUUCCUGUACUUGGUAAAGCUGCGAUGUGGGGACGGAGUAGGUUAGGUUAUCGCACUGUUGGAUAUGUGCGUUUAAGUUGGUAGGUGGGAAGUUUAGGCAAAUCCGGACUUCCUUAACACAGAGAGAUGAUGACGAGGCUCUACGGAGCUGAAGUAACUGAUACCACACUUCCAGGAAAAGCCACUAAGCGAAAGGCUUUACUAAACCGUACUGAAAACCGACACAGGUGGUCAGGUAGAGAAUACUCAGGCGCUUGAGAGAACUCGGGUGAAGGAACUAGGCAAAAUAGCACCGUAACUUCGGGAGAAGGUGCGCCGGCGUAGAUUGUAAGGGCUAGCCCCUGAAGGUUGAACCGGUCGAAGAUACCAGCUGGCUGCAACUGUUUAUUAAAAACACAGCACUCUGCAAACACGAAAGUGGACGUAUAGGGUGUGAUGCCUGCCCGGUGCUGGAAGGUUAAUUGAUGGUGUCAUCGAAAGAGAAGCACCUGAUCGAAGCCCCAGUAAACGGCGGCCGUAACUAUAACGGUCCUAAGGUAGCGAAAUUCCUUGUCGGGUAAGUUCCGACCUGCACGAAUGGCAUAAUGAUGGCCAGGCUGUCUCCACCCGAGACUCAGUGAAAUUGAAAUCGCCGUGAAGAUGCGGUGUACCCGCGGCUAGACGGAAAGACCCCGUGAACCUUUACUAUAGCUUGACACUGAACAUUGAAUUUUGAUGUGUAGGAUAGGUGGGAGCCUUUGAAGCAGUGACGCCAGUCAUUGUGGAGGCGACCUUGAAAUACCACCCUUUAACGUUUGAUGUUCUAACGAAGAUGACGAAACGUGGUCUCGGACAGUGUCUGGUGGGUAGUUUGACUGGGGCGGUCUCCUCCCAAAGCGUAACGGAGGAGCACGAAGGUUUGCUAAUCACGGUCGGACAUCGUGAGGUUAGUGCAAUGGUAUAAGCAAGCUUAACUGCGAGACAGACAAGUCGAGCAGGUACGAAAGUAGGUCAUAGUGAUCCGGUGGUUCUGAAUGGAAGGGCCAUCGCUCAACGGAUAAAAGGUACUCCGGGGAUAACAGGCUGAUACCGCCCAAGAGUUCAUAUCGACGGCGGUGUUUGGCACCUCGAUGUCGGCUCAUCACAUCCUGGGGCUGAAGUAGGUCCCAAGGGUAUGGCUGUUCGCCAUUUAAAGUGGUACGCGAGCUGGGUUUAGAACGUCGUGAGACAGUUCGGUCCCUAUCUGCCGUGGGCGUAGGAUGAUUGAUUGGGGCUGCUCCUAGUACGAGAGGACCGGAGUGGACGCAUCACUGGUGUUCCGGUUGUGUCGCCAGACGCAUUGCCGGGUAGCUAAAUGCGGAAGAGAUAAGUGCUGAAAGCAUCUAAGCACGAAACUUGCCAAGAGAUGAGUCAUCCCUGACUUUAAGUCAGUAAGGGUUGUUGUAGACUACGACGUAGAUAGGUUGGGUGUGUAAGUGAUGUGAGUCAUUGAGCUAACCAAUACUAAUUGCCCGAGAGGCUUAACUAU
Molecule: ribosomal RNA, 2899 nt
Filed under: Haemophilus influenzae
Lineage: Bacteria; Pseudomonadati; Pseudomonadota; Gammaproteobacteria; Pasteurellales; Pasteurellaceae
Also listed under: 1 other name
Description: bacterial LSU rRNA
Rfam family: Bacterial large subunit ribosomal RNA
Source: RNAcentral